GGGGGUGUGGAUCAUUGGUAGAACACUUGCCUAUCAUGUGUGAGACACUGGGUUCAUCCCCAGCACCCCCC
RNAcentral lists this transfer RNA (71 nucleotides) under Ictidomys tridecemlineatus (thirteen-lined ground squirrel). RNAcentral's name for it is "Spermophilus tridecemlineatus (thirteen-lined ground squirrel) tRNA". It matches the Rfam family "tRNA". Rfam says of the family: Transfer RNA (tRNA) molecules are approximately 80 nucleotides in length. Their secondary structure includes four short double-helical elements and three loops (D, anti-codon, and T loops). RNAcentral also lists the same sequence under 1 other name. The record is from Rfam by way of RNAcentral. Lineage: Eukaryota; Metazoa; Chordata; Mammalia; Rodentia; Sciuridae.